GACGAACGCUGGCGGCGUGCUUAACACAUGCAAGUCGACGACGCUACUGAGGAGCAAUAUUUAGUAGUGGAGUGGCGCAAGGGUGAGUAAUGUAUACGUAACCAACCCAUCGGAGACGGAUAACAUUUCGAAAGGGAUGCUAAAACGGCAUGAAGCCACUAUUUCGCAUGAGAUUGUGGUUAAAGAACCGGUAACAGGUUGCCGAUGGCUGGUCGUAUAUCCGAUUAGCUAGUUGGUAGUGUAAUGGACUACCAAGGCGACGAUCGGUAGCUGGUCUGCGGGGCUGAUCCGCGCCACCGGCACCGCGACCCAGGCCACACUCCUACGGGGGGGAGCAGUAGGGAAUAUUGGGCAAUGCCCGCAAGGGUGACCCAGCCACGCCGCGUGGAGGAUGAAGGCCGUAAGGUUGUAAACUCUGACAAGAAGAGAAGAACGGCUAUGGUAAAAGGCCAUAGUAUCACUGUCCCUGCAUGAAGCCCCGGCUAACUACGUG
This 493-nucleotide ribosomal RNA is filed under the name uncultured bacterium. RNAcentral describes it as "partial 16S ribosomal RNA". It matches the Rfam family "Bacterial small subunit ribosomal RNA", at positions 28 to 507 of the family's 1533-position model. The record is from RNAcentral.